CAGCUGUGGCCUACUGGUUAGCGCUUCGGACUUGUAACCGGAGGGUUGCCGGUUCGAACAUGGCAUGGCUGA
RNAcentral lists this transfer RNA (72 nucleotides) under Alosa alosa (allis shad). RNAcentral describes it as "tRNA-OTHER". Lineage: Eukaryota; Metazoa; Chordata; Actinopteri; Clupeiformes; Clupeidae. The record is from RNAcentral.